GAAUAUUGGCCAAUGGGGGGAACCCUGAUCCAGCCAUGCCGCGUGUGUGAAGCCGGCCUUUUGGUUGUAACGCACUUUAAGCGAGGAGGCUGAGCUCUUGGUUACUACCCAAGCUGCUUGGACGUUCCUCGCAGAAUAAUCACCUGCUACCUCUGUGCCAGCAUCCGCGGUAAUACAGAGGGUGCAAGCGUUAAUCGGAUUUACUGGGCGUAAAGCGCGCGGAGGUGGACAAUUAAGUCAAAUGUGAAAUCCCCGAGCUUAACUUGGGAAUUGCAUUCGAUACUGGUUGGCUAGAGUAUGGGAGAGGAUGGUAGAAUUCCAGGUGUAGCGGUGAAAUGCGUAGAGAUCUGGAGGAAUACCGAUGGCGAAGGCAGCCAUCUGGCCUAAUACUGACACUGAGGUGCGAAAGCAUGGGGAGCAAACA
RNAcentral lists this ribosomal RNA (424 nucleotides) under uncultured bacterium. RNAcentral's name for it is "partial 16S ribosomal RNA". It matches the Rfam family "Bacterial small subunit ribosomal RNA", at positions 359 to 774 of the family's 1533-position model. The record is from RNAcentral.